This 250-nucleotide long non-coding RNA is filed under the name Lathyrus oleraceus (garden pea). Its description in RNAcentral is "Pisum sativum (pea) long non-coding RNA (PSAT_LNC017770)". The record is from RNAcentral. Lineage: Eukaryota; Viridiplantae; Streptophyta; Magnoliopsida; Fabales; Fabaceae.
GGACUUAGCCCUUCUUCUUCUUCUCUCCACUCUAACCCAAGCCAAAACCUUUUGUGCAAGCAUUUAAUCUUUGUUUUCAACAUUAGAAACCUAAGCCUUAUGCUUUUGAUUUUCAAACUUUCUUUUCAUAAUACUUAUUUUGAAUUGAAUCCUUAAGUCAACUUUGACCAUUUUGUAUAUACUUCUAAUUGGUAAAUAUAACCCAUUCAAAUGUCUUUUGUGGUUUCAAUGGCCACUUCUUCAUCAAAAU